CCAUCCUCAAGUCAAGUUAUAACUACGUAAAAACCAAUGCUUUUUUCAUAUAUUUUCACUUGAUAAAAGGCACCAUUGAUUGUGCGUUCCCUGCUCAUAUGUGAUUACACUCUUCGUUUCUCGCAUCCUCUUGAUUCUCUUCCUCACCCAGAAACUCUCCUCCCCAUUCAUUUCAAUACAAAUCGCAGUCUACCCCCUAAACAAUGGAACUACCAACUUCUCUCUCCACGUUUUUCCAUCACCUUUUUGAUCUGAUAAAGAAAUUUCUGGCUUUUGGUGCGGUGUCUGAUUUCAUCCACAAGCUUUCUGAUCUAACAGAUACAUUUCUAGCUUCUGAUACAGUGGUAUAUGUCCUCCAAUGGUUUAAGAAAGAAAACGUUCCUACAAUGGUUGCAGUGGUAGUGAUAGUACUCCUGUUUUGUAGUUGCUGCGGAUGUCUUGUCAAGAUUGUUUGUAGUUGCUGCGGAUGUCUUGCCAGGAGUGUUCGUAGUUGCUGCGGAUGUCUUGCCUGGAGUGUUCGUAGUUGCUGCGGAUGUGCUGCCACGAGUGUUAAAACAAUGAUAGCACCAGGGAGGGACUAUCGCAUGCCAAGGAGUAUUUUUGAAGCAAAUCCUUCUGGUUAUUUUAGGGACUUGCGCAAGGGGUAGAAGAUACAUCGAUCCUAAGCCUCCAAUAUGGUUGUUUCCAGUGACUUCUUCACCGGCAGCAGGCCCUCCUUUAUUCAUCUCUUCAUCGACCCUACUGUGUUUUCUUCUUUUCGAGUAGUUUUUCAAAAGCUUUGAUCUGUUCUAGUAGAUGCUUUACGUUUACAUUUGUUGCAAGAAUAAUAAUUGAUGGUAUUAAUUUGCAUCAA
Molecule: long non-coding RNA, 853 nt
Organism: Populus trichocarpa (black cottonwood)
Lineage: Eukaryota; Viridiplantae; Streptophyta; Magnoliopsida; Malpighiales; Salicaceae
Exons: 2
Source: RefSeq, a predicted model, not a curated record